GAUGAACGCUGGCGGCGUGCCUAAUACAUGCAAGUCGAGCGAACAGAUGAGGAGCUUGCUCCUCUGACGUUAGCGGCGGACGGGUGAGUAACACGUGGAUAACCUACCUAUAAGACUGGGAUAACUUCGGGAAACGGGAGCUAAUACCGGAUAAUAUAUUGAACCGCAUGGUUCAAUAGUGAAAGACGGUUUUGCUUUCACUUAUAGAUGGAUCCGCGCCGCAUUAGCUAGUUGGUAAGGUAACGGCUUACCAAGGCAACGAUGCGUAGCCGACCUGAGAGGGUGAUCGGCCACACUGGAACUGAGACACGGUCCAGACUCCUACGGGAGGCAGCAGUAGGGAAUCUUCCGCAAUGGGCGAAAGCCUGACGGAGCAACGCCGCGUGAGUGAUGAAGGUCUUCGGAUCGUAAAACUCUGUUAUUAGGGAAGAACAAAUGUGUAAGUAACUAUGCACGUCUUGACGGUACCUAAUCAGAAAGCCACGGCUAACUACGUG
This 497-nucleotide ribosomal RNA is filed under the name uncultured bacterium. Its description in RNAcentral is "partial 16S ribosomal RNA". It matches the Rfam family "Bacterial small subunit ribosomal RNA", at positions 28 to 507 of the family's 1533-position model. The record is from RNAcentral.